RNAcentral lists this long non-coding RNA (739 nucleotides) under Cricetulus griseus (Chinese hamster). Its description in RNAcentral is "lncRNA (ENSCGRG00015038758.1)". Lineage: Eukaryota; Metazoa; Chordata; Mammalia; Rodentia; Cricetidae. The record is from RNAcentral.
CUUAACCAUAUUUUACUCCUGAGGAGCAAAGGAUGAAGGGCCUAGAGUGAGCCAUCAGAAGUAGUCCCUUGGUGCUUUUGUCUACCGGUGGUCAGCCUGAAAAUGCCCUCACGAACAGAAUAUCUGAGGUCAAGGAAACAAAGGUUCUUCUCCAGCCUGUGAACCUCAUAUAACCACAUAUGCAUAUGCAUGGGCACACAUCUGUCCUGAUGAGUAUACUAUGCCAGGACUCGCGUUGCAUAAAAAGGAGACAACGCAUCCCUUCCAACCUUCAUUCAAGCUUAGGAUUUGAAAACAAAAUAAAGCCCUCACCCAGUGGCUGAAGGAAGCAGAGACAGACAUCCACAGAUAUACACUGAGCUGAAAUCAGGAAUUUAGUUGAAGAGAGGGAGGAAUGAAGAACGAAAGGGUCUGUACCAGGUUGGAGAAACCCACAGGAACAGUUGACCUGAACAAGGGAGAGCACAUCGACCCCAGAUGCUGUCGGGGAGGCCAGUACAAGACUGAUCCAGACCCCUGAACAUGGAUGUCAAUAAGGAGGCCUCUGCACUCCAGGGAGCCUCUGGUGGUGGAUUAGUAUUUUUCCCUGGUGCAAGAAGGGACUUUGAGAGCCCAUCCCACGUGAAGGGAUACACUCUGGCCCUGGACACAUGGGGAAGGGCCCAGGCCCAGCCCAGGAAGAUUUGGUGGACUUUGCAGAGCCCCUGUUGAGGGCCCUACCCUGCCUGGGGAGUGGUGG